This 73-nucleotide transfer RNA is filed under the name Chloroflexota bacterium. Its description in RNAcentral is "Chloroflexi bacterium tRNA-Trp". It matches the Rfam family "tRNA". Rfam says of the family: Transfer RNA (tRNA) molecules are approximately 80 nucleotides in length. Their secondary structure includes four short double-helical elements and three loops (D, anti-codon, and T loops). The record is from RNAcentral. Lineage: Bacteria; Bacillati; Chloroflexota.
GCGGGCGUAGUUCAAUCGGCCAGAACGUCGGUCUCCAAAACCGAAGAUCGAGGUUCAAGUCCUCGCGCCCGUG